UACAGGGGGUGCAAACGUUGCUCGGAAUCAUUGGGCGUAAAGCGCACGUAGGCGGUUUGUUAUGUCGGAUGUGAAAGCCCUUGGCUCAACUCAGGAAGUGCAUCCGAAACUGGCAAGCUGGAGUACUAAAGAGGGUCGCGGAAUUCCCGGUGUAGAGGUGAAAUUCGUAGAUAUCGGGAGGAACACCGGUGGCGAAGGCGGCGACCUGGGUAGAUACUGACGCUGAGGUGCGAAAGCGUGGGGAGCAAACAGG
RNAcentral lists this ribosomal RNA (253 nucleotides) under uncultured bacterium. RNAcentral's name for it is "partial 16S ribosomal RNA". It matches the Rfam family "Bacterial small subunit ribosomal RNA", at positions 524 to 776 of the family's 1533-position model. The record is from RNAcentral.